This 1537-nucleotide long non-coding RNA is filed under the name Homo sapiens (human). RNAcentral's name for it is "HSALNT0353774". Lineage: Eukaryota; Metazoa; Chordata; Mammalia; Primates; Hominidae. The record is from RNAcentral.
AUUGUAGAGAGAAGCCUUGCUAUGUUGCCCAAGCUGGCCUCAAAAUCACACCCUCAAGAGAUCUGCUCACCUCGACAACCUGAUAAAUUGGUUCUACAGACACAAAUCACCAUGCCUGGAUAAUUAUAUUUUUAUUAUUAUUAUUUUUGUAGAGAGGAGGUCUUGCUAUGUUGCCCAGGGUGGUCUCAAAUUCCUGGACUCAAACAAUUCUCCCAUCUCUGCCUCCCAAAGUGCUAGCACUACAGGCAUAUGCCACUGCACCUGGCCUGACUUGAGAUUUCUUUAAUCUAGCAUCCCAUACUUCAUAUAAUUGGGAAAGGCAGUAGUGUUUUUUUUUAAUUACUUAGUAUUUCAACAAGAAUCAACCAUCUCUCACCAUUGCCAGGACCCUCGUCAGAAGCACUAUCAUCUCCUACCUGGAUGCUGCCACAGCUUGGCCUCCCUGCUUCUACCCAAAUCUUCUCACAGUCUUUCUCAACUCAGCCGCCAUGGGAUGCUUUUAAAUCAGGAGACAGAUCAUGUCGCCUCUCUGCUCAGAACAUUCUUGCAGUUCCCAUCUCAGUCAGAGUAAAAGCCAAAGCCCCAGCAAUAGCCUCCCAGGGCUUAUACAAUCUGUACUGAUCUGAGCCCAACAACUCCCUGGCAUCCUACCCUACUUCUCUCCCUCUCUGUGCUCCACGGGCCUCUUUCCUGAGCUUCAGACACACCAUGGAGUUCCCUCCUAGCAUCUUUAUUCUAUUGUUUCUGCCUACAGUGCUCUUCCCUCAGCACCUUGGCCAGCUCCUUCCCCUCCUUCAAGUCUUUGCUCAAUUUUCACUUAGGAGGCCAAUCCUGACCACUCUAUCACUAUGUUGUCCAGGCUUGUCUUGAACUCCUGAGCCAAAGCCAUCCUCCUGCCUCGGCCUCCUAAAUAGCUGGAAUUAUGGGUGUGGGCCACCACCCGUGGCUUCAUGUCCAUUUCUUCUCGGUGCUGUUACAAACUAGCCUACAUUGAGUGGCUUAAUACACCAGGAAUCUACUACCUAAUAGGUCUGGGGGCCAGAAGUCCAAAAUAGGUCCAUUAAGGCUAAAGUCAAGGUGUCAGCAGGACUGCAUUCCUUCUGGAGGCUCCAGAGAGGAUACAUUCCCUUGCUUGUUUCAGCUUCUAUUGCCACCCCCAUUCCUUGGCUCAUGGCCCCUAACUGCAUCUUCAAAGCCAAAAGCAAAGCAUAUUCGAAUUUCCCUCUCUGACCUCUGCUUCUAUCAUCGCAUCUCCUCCAAUUCUGACUCUCUUACCUCCCUCUUUCUCUUAUAAAGACCCUUGUGAUUGCUGGACACAGUGGCUGUGGCUCACACCCGUAAUCACAACAGUUUAGGAGGUCAAAGUGGGAAAAACGCUUGAGGUCAGGAGUUCGAGACCAGCCUGGGAAACAUAGUGAUAACCCCCAAAUCAACAACAACAACAACAACAAAAAGAAAUAAGAAAAAAUUAGCUGGGCAUGGCGGUAUGCAUCUGUGGUUUCAGCUACUUGAGAGGCUGAAGUGAAAGGAUUGCUUU